Long non-coding RNA from Helianthus annuus (common sunflower), 3404 nucleotides. RefSeq lists it as uncharacterized. The record is from RefSeq and is a predicted model, not a curated record. The transcript has 3 exons. NCBI's taxonomy places the organism in Eukaryota, Viridiplantae, Streptophyta, Magnoliopsida, Asterales, Asteraceae.
UCCCUCGACCCUGACCACCCACUCUCUCUCUCUCCUCUCUCUCUCUCUCUCUCUAGAUUCUACUAUAGUAUGUGGUGGCCACCGGUACUGUUUCAUAUGCCCCUUAGACACCUGUUUUUCCCCAAAGUACAUCAAGUACUCAAUGCCCUUUAAUCAUACCCACUCAGAGAAUUAUGAUCUUCUAACAACCAUGUCAAAAUUGUGAAACAAGAUGAUUUUGAUCCAGAUAAAUAAACAAAAUUAAGGUAUGUUUUUUUAAUUUGUAACCUACUUCAGUGAGACUGUUGCUAUAUUUAAUUUCUUGUGUGUUGAUCUUAUUUUUCUUUACAUCACAUCACUUUGACUACUGAGUUUCUCAUGUGUAGUGUCAUAUGAUGUCUGUUUUUUGUUCUCUUUCAACAUUUCUUUGUUAUUAUUUUUCAUACUGUUUAUUGUUGUUUUUUUUUUCAUUUUGAUUUGAUCUUAAAAGCUCAAACAAAUCAAAAUAUAAUGUUUGGUUUUGUUGAUCAUUAGGUACUCUCUAGGGUUUUUACCAAAUAUUUUCCUUCUAUGUGUUUGAAGUCAAUUUAAUAAUCUAAUUCUUUAAAGAAAUCCAAAUGCGUAACCUAAACCUAAGCUAUACUUUUUUUUGUGAUUAACUAUUUCGUUAAUAAUCUAAUUCUUUAAAGAAAUCCAAAUGUGGAACCUAAACCUAAGCUAUACUUUUCUUUUUUGUGAUCAACUAUUUUGUAGUUUAAGUAAUCGACUUAAUUGUAAGGGCUUUUAUAAUUGCAUAACAGAUCUUCAUUGAAUCACAUCAAAGAUUAAAAUUGGAUUAUUUUUAAUAAUUCUAAGUUUCACCUGUUGGCCGGUAAUAAUCACAACUUGUAAGAAUUUUGCCCCAUUGAUUCUUUUCCAACAUAGGUAAGGAGUUUGCACACGCACUUAAAUCUAUUGAGGAGAGCAAAUUCUUAUAUGUUAGAAAAUGAUCGAUGGAGGCCAAAUUCUUACUUGUGAUCGUUGAAGGGAAUUUUUAAUGGUAAAUUACAUUUUUCUUCUUUUAUGUUUGUAUCGAAUUGCAAUGGAUGAUCUUUAACUUCAAUAAUUACGGUCACAAUCCUUUAUUUGUAAACACGUUACGCCCUACGUCCUUUAACAUUAACCAUGUUGAAAAUUUCAGUUAUAUAUGACAUGUGCAAGGCACAUAAUGGUAUUUCUGUAAUUUUUCAUAUAUACAUUUAAAACAAAAGCUCACUCUCUUCCUCGUAACACACACUCUCUCUCUCUCAGCACACACACUUUCUAUCUCUGCUUCUCUUUUAGUUCAAAAUUAAAGAAUCUCACCACCACUCUCAACCAUCACAACACCGCCAUUGUCCACCUCUUCUCUCUCACCACCAUCGGCGGUUUCUGAGGCACACUAUCAUCAACAUCGUCUUCAUCAAACCCUAGCCUCUAAAUCGUUGGAAUGAGAUAGACCUACAAUGCCGGAGAAGUCGUCGGAGACUAUCCGUAGCUCCGACAUCAACGCUGGAAGCAUCCGCCUUGCAACUGACCUUUGGCCGGAGAAAAAAAAGUCGGCAACGACAAGCUGCUAGGCGGUGGAGAAGGAGUAAACACAAAAGAACCUGAAAACUCAUCAACAAUAUUGUCACAAUUGUUCAUCGAUGAUGAUAAAACCCUAGGUGUCACAUCUUCCUUCAUAUUUGGUCCGAUCACAUCAUUAUUCAACAUUCCGUCGUGUUUUCCGGCGGUGACGCUUUCUUUUUCUUCGCAAUAACCGUCGGAACCAUCGGCGGAGCAAGAUCUACAACCUCUCUCUUUGAAUCCUUCUUCUGAUUCUUCGUUUUUUUCGGCGUUAGACAUUGAUCUUUCUGUAUUUUAAGGGUGUUUUUUUUAUGAAUCUGCAUUCUAAUUGUUGCGUUUGAGUUUAGAACUUUAGUGAAUGAUAUUAUUGUUUAUGAUUUUGUGUUAUAGCUUUUAGAUGGAAAUGGUGGUGUGUGUGAUGCAUCUGAUUUUGUGUUUUAUUUUUAAAUUUAUUUUAGAUAAACGAGUAAAAUUACAAAAAUACCCUCAUGUGCCUUUCACAUGUCAUAUUUAACUGAAAUUUUCAAUAUGGUUAGUGCUAAUUGACGUAGGGUGUAAUAGGUUUUACAAAUAAAGGAUUGUGGCUGUAAUUAUUGAAGUUAAAGUUUAUCCAUUGCAAUUCGAUACAAACAUAAAGGACGAAAAAUGUAAUUUACCCAAUUUUUAAAGUUGGGAUUAUUGUCGGCCAACACGUGAAACCUAGGAUUAUUAAAAUCCAAUAACCCAUUAAAAUUUGAUUUUAUGUAGUUUGUGUUUGGUGUUUUAAAAUGCUAUUGAAUUUAUGACAUCAUUCGGAGUUGAGCCUGGGGAACUCAUGGGGAAGGCCAGCCCCGGACAAGAACACGACACCCGGUUUUGGGGGACUAUUUUUACACGGAAACACGGUGAGAUGACACCAAUCAUUGGGAGUGAAGGUGGGUGUGUUCAACGAUCAUAUGACAGAUACUUUAAUGAAAAUAAUUGUGUUGUAUUCAACCCUUCAAAUGCAUACCAUUUUAGUGAAAUGUUUUAUUGUUUUAAUUAUGUUUUUUUUCUAAUCUAGUAUUGUUUCUUGCUGUUAAGUUUAAUGCAGUUUUAAUAUGUUAUUUGUAGUUUUCAUUGUUAUAUGUUAUUUUAUACCUUUAAAAAUUAAUUAAAACAUCUUAAAUAUAUAAAUUUAAUUUAAAUUAAAAUAAUUAACUUUUGGGAAAUCUGGAACGACACUAUGCAAUCUGGGGAAGUAUGAGAAUAGUAAGGAGAAAACUGAUAUGUUGCUGACGUAUCACCCGGGAAAAAUAGGGAAAACAGGACAAUUCUCUAUGCCCUUAUAGAUGGUAAUUUAUACCAACUUACAUUGCCACUGAAGCUGUUUGUUUUUUUUUGUUUUUUUUUUGUUUGUUAUGGACUGUAAUUUACAUUAGCUUACAUUCGCCAAUAGAUUGCUAACUAGAUAAACCGUUAUUUGUGAUCGGAAUAUGGCUUUUAAGAUCUUCUAGUAGGAAACCGGUGGAGGCAAGAUUCAAACCCGAGACUUGUUCUAGAGGUUGUGUUACAUCUGUAUCAAUAAACUGUAAGGCUCACCUGCUAUUAUACAUUGAAGCAAUCAACAGUGUGAUAAGCUCUACUACUUUUAAUAACUUAUGCAGUUUUGUGUUUCCAAAUGCUGGAAGUUUCUACUACAUGGAGACCCAUUGAUUGUGCUAUACUUUAUUGGCUUUUUGAUCUUCAAGAUUAUAUCUGUUCCAUUUUAAUCAAACAUUUUGGUUGGAGUGUGCAUUCAAAGUUAAUCAGCAAUCUUGUUUUUUGUGUUAUAUGUAUUUUUUUCUAUUUAUAGCUCUAGUAAAAAUGUCUUUUAUCUA